This 495-nucleotide ribosomal RNA is filed under the name uncultured bacterium. RNAcentral describes it as "partial 16S ribosomal RNA". It matches the Rfam family "Bacterial small subunit ribosomal RNA", at positions 28 to 507 of the family's 1533-position model. The record is from RNAcentral.
GACGAACGCUGGCGGCGUGCCUAAUACAUGCAAGUAGAACGCUGAAGGAGGAGCUUGCUUCUCUGGAUGAGUUGCGAACGGGUGAGUAACGCGUAGGUAACCUGCCUGGUAGCGGGGGAUAACUAUUGGAAACGAUAGCUAAUACUGCAUAAUAGUAGAUGUUGCAUGACAUUUGCUUAAAAGGUGCAAUUGCAUCACUACCAGAUGGACCUGCGUUGUAUUAGCUAGUUGGUGGGGUAACGGCUCACCAAGGCGACGAUACAUAGCCGACCUGAGAGGGUGAUCGGCCACACUGGGACUGAGACACGGCCCAGACUCCUACGGGAGGCAGCAGUAGGGAAUCUUCGGCAAUAGACGGAAGUCUGACCGAGCAACGCCGCGUGAGUGAAGAAGGUUUUCGGAUCGUAAAGCUCUGUUGUAAGAGAAGAACGAGUGUGAGAGUGGAAAGUUCACACUGUGACGGUAUCUUACCAGAAAGGGACGGCUAACUACGUG